Long non-coding RNA from Tetranychus urticae (two-spotted spider mite), 975 nucleotides. RefSeq lists it as uncharacterized. The record is from RefSeq and is a predicted model, not a curated record. NCBI's taxonomy places the organism in Eukaryota, Metazoa, Arthropoda, Arachnida, Trombidiformes, Tetranychidae.
GAAAAAAUAGGUAAGAUUAGAUUAUUAGAUUUCUAUUGACUGAAUUGCAGAUUGAAAACUUAAUCAGAGAACCAGGCAGUGAGCUUAGAAACAUUAGUUUAUUAACAUUAACCUGUGCAUUCUUCAUUAAUUAUUGACUCGCUUCAGAAAAAAACAUUUUAUUGUAGCUGGACGUAAGAUUUUUUGAUAAUAUUAGUUAUCGAUAGUAUUGUCGGACUUAUCGAUAAAUAUUGCUAGCUUUGUUAUCGAUAUUAUUUAUUGUAUCGAUGAUAUUGUUGCAACACUACUGUAAACAGAGUUGGAAUAGCUGGUAUUUCAACUUAACCAGUCAAACAGUUGAUAAUCAAACAAUAAUUAAAGUGACUAUUAAUUAUUUAAUCAUAUAAUUAACUUCAAUUAAUAAGUAUUUAAAAUAGUUAAUAAAGAAGGCUUAAAAAGGCUGCCUCUUUAAUUCCUCCUCGUCACAUCGCAUGCCUAAAUUACACAUAAUUACAAACUAUAACAUAUCAAGACCAAUGUCAAGUUGAAUUGUGAUAGCUUAACUUCCAAGUCGAUUCCAGUUGGUUUGAAAAUAGACAACACAUUUUGAAAAGGCAGUUGCUGAAAUAAACCAUUGGAUUCAUUCAUCUAUCCUAUCAAGCAAAAUUAUGAUAAGAGCAAUGACAGUAGGAUAGACAUAAUAAUGAUAGACAUUUAUUUAUUGUCUAUUGGUGCGUUAAAGCCGAAACAUGGAAUUUAAUCAAGGUUCAAGCUGAAGUUGCAAUGUUAUUGUUACUGUUAAUUGCAAAUUCAAGGAGAUAAUCAGCCACCUUAAGGCUAAGAGAUACAUUGAAAGUCAAUUGGAUUGUCGACAAAAAAUUAAUGAGCAAUUUAGUUGUUUUUUAUAAGGAGGACCUGCAAAUGGAUAGGGAAAAUCUCCUCUUAGGAUAUUUUUAUGAAAUGAACUUUUUUUAAUAUAAUUUUUUAUGCUGAUUC